Molecule: ribosomal RNA, 500 nt
Filed under: uncultured bacterium
Lineage: Bacteria
Description: bacterial SSU rRNA
Rfam family: Bacterial small subunit ribosomal RNA
Source: RNAcentral
UGACAUCCCACUGACAAAGUAUGUAAUGUACUCUUCCUUCGGGACAGUGGUGACAGGUGGUGCAUGGUUGUCGUCAGCUCGUGUCGUGAGAUGUUGGGUUAAGUCCCGCAACGAGCGCAACCCUUAUCUUUAGUAGCCAGCAUUUAGGAUGGGCACUCUAGAGAGACUGCCCGGGUGAACCGGGAGGAAGGUGGGGACGACGUCAAAUCAUCAUGCCCCUUAUGACCAGGGCUACACACGUGCUACAAUGGCGUAAACAAAGAGAAGCGAGCCUGUGAGGGGGAGCCAACCUCAAAAAUAACGUCUCAGUUCGGACUGCAGUCUGCAACUCGACUGCACGAAGCUGGAAUCGCUAGUAAUCGCGAAUCAGAAUGUCGCGGUGAAUACGUUCCCGGGUCUUGUACACACCGCCCGUCACACCAUGGGAGUCGGAAAUGCCCGAAGCCUGUGACCCAACCAUCCGGAGGGAGCAGUCGAAGGUGGAGCCGAUGACUGGGGUG